UCUCCUUCAUCAUUCAAUCAAUUUCACCUCUGAUCAUUACGCCACAAUCACCUUCGUCUGUAUAAUCAAAUCAUCACCACUAAUCAUUUUACUCUUCGCAACCUGUCUUUUCUUCCACCGUUGCGAAUCACUUUGUUCAUUUCCUCCCAUUGCUCUUCUUUUCUUCCAGCUAUCAGUCUCUUCUCUUCUUCGGGCUAUCGUAAAUAUAAUACAAGAUGCAUGUGAGGACACGUCGGAUGACAGGUCAUUAAGUCAUUCGCUGUGGAGACGACACGUGUAUCUACGGACAGAACACAACGCUUCUUCGUUUGUCAUUUGGGCUGUUUCUUCGUUAUGUCUACGUACAAUCCUAUUGGGCUUAGGUCAAGGGAGUGAUUCGGCCCAGUCAACUAUAUUCUGCGUUAACCCUAAUUUUUUUUUUGUCAAAAAAAUGUUCAUCCCUUCUCUCCCUUAUUCGGCGACGAUGACUGUGGAACUUCCUCAACGUCCAUGAAACGGAUCUGUGAUUAAUCCCAUCGAUUGAGACUCCCACUACGAGUUCUUCAAUGUGUUGUUUGCGUUGGCUGGAUCUGUGAGGUCGGGUAUGAAUUGCAAGUGUUCUGCUGCGAUUCUGGGAAGCUCAAGCGCUCAUGUGGCUUGAUAUGCUGAUGGUGGACGUUAAUGUAAGUAUUCUUUCCAGAUCCUGACUUAUUAUUUUCCGGUGAACCUGUGGUUUCCGGUGAAACUCAUCCUGAUAAUCAUCAUUGAUUUUGAUUUUCUGUUAAUUUGCUCUAAUAUUUAUUUUCGGGUGAACUUCCUUCCAUCUGUAAAUCGACCAUAAGGGUUGCUCGAUCUCUCACCUGAAUAAGGUUUCUGGUUCGGUAACCAGACGGAGCUGUUCGAUUUAGCUAACACAAGCACUCAUCUACCAGACGUCACAGGAGGAAUCAUUGGUGUGCAAAGUACUGUUAGUGAUCCUCCGGAAGAAAAGAAUCGUGUCAUGGUGUCAUGGUGACUAUAAAACUAGAUAGUGAUGAAACUGUCACCGUAAGCUUAUUUGACUCCCAGUUGUUUCUUUUCACAAAGAGCUUGAAGCCAUGCGUGUUGAUCCGAAGGUCAUUGUUGGUUGUACUGAUAUUGGAGGUUGUUUGUUCCUCAAUGCAACGUCAGGAACACAUGUGUAAUUUGAUAAGAAGACGAAUGCAGGGGAAGUCCGAUUCUACUAGGACACUGGUCUACCAUCAGCCGCCCCACUGCUAAGAUCAUAUGCGAAGGUUGAGACAAUGACAAUGGCUGAGCUCAACGCUUUUGUCGUCAAUGCUGCAUCGCAGGAAAUUGAUUUCCUGCGCAUUGGGAGGUUUGUUCGCCUUGACAAAGAUAAGGGGUGGUGUUAUGCUGCAUGCUCUAAAUGCAGUAAAAAGUUGCAGCGCACUGCCUCUGCUUUUACGUGUGCGCGAUGCAAUAAUUUGCAUGCUGUUGGAGCCCUUCGAUGCUCAAAACAGUGGGACAAGAUGAACUCAAGGCUUCUUCUCGGUUGCUAUCUUUCUUUGUGGAUCACCUUAAUAAUAUGUUUGUAGUGUUGGACACAAAUAGUUUGAUUCUCUGUUGAAAAUGUUACAUUGUUCAUCUAACUUGAUAUUGAAAAAAAGUUCUCUGUUA
Molecule: long non-coding RNA, 1638 nt
Organism: Brassica oleracea var. oleracea
Lineage: Eukaryota; Viridiplantae; Streptophyta; Magnoliopsida; Brassicales; Brassicaceae
Exons: 9
Source: RefSeq, a predicted model, not a curated record